UACGGAGGGUGCAAGCGUUAAUCGGAAUUACUGGGCGUAAAGCGUGCGUAGGUGGUUGACUAAGUUAUCUGUGAAAUCCCCGGGCUUAACCUGGGCAGGUCAGAUGAUACUGGUUGACUCGAGUAUGGGAGAGGGUAGUGGAAUUUCCGGUGUAGCGGUGAAAUGCGUAGAGAUCGGAAGGAACACCAGUGGCGAAGGCGGCUACCUGGCCUAAUACUGACACUGAGGCACGAAAGCGUGGGGAGCAAACAGG
Molecule: ribosomal RNA, 253 nt
Filed under: uncultured bacterium
Lineage: Bacteria
Description: partial 16S ribosomal RNA
Rfam family: Bacterial small subunit ribosomal RNA
Source: RNAcentral